ACUGCCCUGGCCUGGCUGCUGGGAACAGUUUGCACCUUCACUUAAGAUGAACCUGCUGCUGAUUUUCCUGUUCAUGCUGGAGGCUCCUUCAGGGGUCCUCUCCCAAGUGCAGCUGAAGGAAACGGGCCCGGGAGCGGUGAAACCCGGGGAGUCCCUGACACUCACUUGUACCAUCUCCGGAGACUCGGUUUCUAGCACCAGCGCCACCUGGGACUGGUUCCAGCAGCCCGCGGGGAAGCGGCCGGAAUGGGUGGGGUGCACAUGGUACAGGUCUGGCCGAUGGAACACUGAGUACCCAGGCUCUCUGCAGAGCCGAGUGACCAUCUCACAAGACACCGCCAAGAACCAGGUCUCCAUGCAGCUCCGCUCGCUGACAGCUGCGGACACCGCCACCUAUUACUGCUCCGGGAGAGACACAACCGGACUGCUUCGCCUCGGUAGCAUCGUCAGCAUCGCCAUGGCCCGUGCUAUGCUGAAGAUCCUAAUAGACAUUUCUGGUAAUGACAAUAAUUAUAAAUUGUGUCCCUACCGUUGA
This is a non-coding RNA of Mauremys reevesii (Reeves's turtle), 535 nucleotides long. NCBI's taxonomy places the organism in Eukaryota, Metazoa, Chordata, Testudines, Geoemydidae. The record is from the annotation of a RefSeq genome assembly.